RNAcentral lists this ribosomal RNA (247 nucleotides) under uncultured bacterium. RNAcentral describes it as "partial small subunit ribosomal RNA". It matches the Rfam family "Bacterial small subunit ribosomal RNA", at positions 26 to 288 of the family's 1533-position model. The record is from RNAcentral.
AGGACGAACGCUGGCGGCGUGCUUAACACAUGCAAGUCGAACGAACCUUCGGGUUAGUGGCGAACGGGUGAGUAACACGUGGGCAACCUGCCCCGAGCUCUGGGAUAACACCGGGAAACCGGUGCUAAUACCGGAUAUGACCAGAGAAGGCAUCUUCUCUGGUGGAAAGUUUUUCGGCUCGGGAUGGGCCCGCGGCCUAUCAGCUUGUUGGUGGGGUAACGGCCUACCAAGGCGACGACGGGUAGCC